UACCCCUCCUGUACUCUCACCCGAAGGAAUUUCAGCACCAUCUCAAGUCCAAUUUGUUUCAAGGACAGGAAAAACCAACUGACUUCAACCAAAAUUAAAGGAAUGGAGAGAUAAGUUUGCUGGCUCAGGAUCCCUUACCGAUGGCAUGUCAAUCACAGAUGCAGGACAGAAGAACCUGUCCGCAUUUUGUAGUGACAUGCUGGAUGAGUACCUGGC
This 216-nucleotide long non-coding RNA is filed under the name Carassius auratus (goldfish). Its description in RNAcentral is "lncRNA (ENSCARG00000066476.1)". Lineage: Eukaryota; Metazoa; Chordata; Actinopteri; Cypriniformes; Cyprinidae. The record is from RNAcentral.